This is a long non-coding RNA of Gorilla gorilla gorilla (western lowland gorilla), 2516 nucleotides long. RefSeq lists it as uncharacterized. The record is from RefSeq and is a predicted model, not a curated record. Lineage: Eukaryota; Metazoa; Chordata; Mammalia; Primates; Hominidae. The transcript has 4 exons.
AGAGAGCUUCAGCUGUGGUAUUAUGGGGAGGAACCUGCAGCCGGUGGACAAGGCCUUAGAACUCCCAGGAUUAAAUGCCCUUUGUCUUCUGUUACUAGUGUGGGUAGGGAGGGACCAUCAGGUGGGGGCAGGGCUAGGUGUGUCUGAACUCAAACUCUCCUUGGGCAGGUCUUGCUGUGGCUGCUGUGGGGGAUGGUGGUGAGAUUCCCAGGUCACUGGAGUUGUGUAUCUAGGAGGAUUAUGGCUGCUUCUGCUGAGUCAUGCAGGUUGUUCCGGAAGUGGAGGAAAGCCGGUAGUCACAGGCCUCACCCAGCUCCCACACGCAAACCGAAGGGCCCGUCUCCCUCCCACCGUGCUCCCUGCAGCUGCCCCCAGACUGUUUCCAGGUGGAGAGCAAUACAGGACUGAAAAUCUGCCCCAGGCUAUUCGCCUCCCAGCUGUGAAAAAAAGGGCUUGGUUCUUCCCCAACCAGUGGAGUCCGCACACUGGAUUUGCGCCCUCCCGCAAGUUGUGGCCAGGAGGCUUCUCACCCGGUUCAAAUUGUUACAAAGUUCAGCUAGAGAUUUGCUUCUUCCUGUGCAGUUUUACCCCCGCUCCUCUCCUGUUGUAUCUCUGUGGUACCAGGCAGGAAUGGGUGCUAGGGGACCCAGUGAGGUUCCGGGGCCUUUCUGCUGCUUCCUCUACCCGUGUUUCACUCGGCUCUCCAUACUGAUUCAGCUCCAGCAUGUCAUUUUCUUCAUAAGCAGUCUGCUGGGAUUUGUUUGAGAACGUAUUAAAGAGAUCAACUUGGGUCAAAUGGACAAAAGAGUGUUGAGUCCUUCGAUCUAUGAACAUGAGGAGAUGGAGUCUCACUUUGUUGCCCAGGCUGGUCUUAAACUCCUGGCCUCAAGCAGUCCUCCUGCCUCAGUCUCCCAAAGUGCUCGGGUUACAGCUAUGAGCCACCACGCCUGGCCUCUUUUACAAAUUUUAAGGUUUGAAGUUGUUCGAUUGCACCUUUCUUUUCCCUGGAGUUAAUGUUGUACUCAGAAGGCCAUGCAAAUGGAGGAGAGAUGUUUAUUUCAUGAUUUGGAUUUGUUUUGGUGGCCUGCUGGGGCCCAUUCAUUUGGCCCUAAGGCUUGUUUCUACCAUAAUGGUGCCUGUGACAUUUUGACGGCAUUUUCAGCUGAACCCCUACAGUAUGGGUCACCUUGCAGUCCCUGCAUCAGCACUCCUGUUGUAAUUUCCUGCAGCUCACUAGCUCUCUGUCUUUCAGACAACUGCUAUGCCCAGUCUAGGGAACCUCAGCAACCUUCGCAUGGUUUCCUACUGCUUCUAGGGCUAGGUGCCCCCAGAUCUCACCUUUUCUACUCUGUGAUGGCCACAUCCCAUUGGCAGAGCCAACUGCUUUCCAGAGACUUCACCUGAAAAUGGAUGCCCUGAUCCUCCUAAGUUUGGAUACAAACAGUUAAUUGAAGGGCUGAAGGCAUUUUUGGCUCCCCAUGGGGCCUGAGCCUGAGGACGCAAGGAAUUAGGAAACAGCCUCCUUGCCCCCAACCCCUCUCACGAAUUGUUAACUCUCACAGCAUUCUCUAUCUAGACUGGGGUAGGGGUGGAGAAUCAGUCUGACAACAUCUACUUCCUAAUCCUUUGGUCUUAUUUGUGGAUCUAAAAACUUUUGAAAUUGCUUGUGCAGUUGUUUCUUUGUGAGACUCUCUCUUAGGGCAAAAUGGCCUCUGGGAUCCCAGCCUAAGUAGGGGAGGGCCACUUCAGUGAGGGGUAGGGACAGAACAGUACAGUUAGUGCUUGCAUGUCAUUUUCCAAUUUAAGUGAAAUAAUUACACCAUGUUAGAGACAUCCUUUUCGGGGGAAUUACCAAGAAUUCAUAAUAUUUUAUAGAAGUUGCUGAUGUUGAAAAUCUGCCUAAAUACUUAGGACAUUAUAAAUUUAGCAAAAGUUACUUAAUGUGCUGCUCUGCUAUUCAGGAACCUUGACAUUUGAGGCAAAUAAAAGGGAAUAGUUAUGUAAGUUAUAAAAUUAACAAGUACUGUGGCAGUUCAUGAAAUACCUGAACCAAGUCUGUCUUAGCGCAGGUGUUGGGAAUUCAAGGGUAAGAAAAAGUUAGCAUUGACAAGGGAUGCUGAUUAUGUAGGCUUGUGCAGCAUAUACCAUCAAUCAUCUCUGUAUGCACACGAAAAACCCCUGUUACAUGAUCCUUAAGGAAUUGUCCAGAUUCUUUUGUCCUCUUUUAAAUGGUCUUAUCCUGGACUCUUCUGUCAUUUCCACAUUUAAGCAGAAACCAAAUUCUAUCUCCAAAUAUUUGUCCUGGCUUUUCCAUCCACAUUAAUACUACCUUAGUUUAGACCUUCAUCAUCGCUUGCUUAGAAUAUUACAGUAGCCACCUGACUUUUCCUGCUUCACCCAGUCCAUCCUCUGCUUAUAUCAGGUAUUCUUUGUAAAAUACAAACCUGAUAUUUACUCCCUCCUUUAGAAACUGUGAUCACUCUCUGCCAUUUACAGAGUAAAAUGCCAAUCUCCAA